This 453-nucleotide ribosomal RNA is filed under the name uncultured Bacteroidales bacterium. RNAcentral describes it as "bacterial SSU rRNA". It matches the Rfam family "Bacterial small subunit ribosomal RNA", at positions 917 to 1370 of the family's 1533-position model. The record is from RNAcentral. Lineage: Bacteria; Pseudomonadati; Bacteroidota; Bacteroidia; Bacteroidales.
GGGCCCGCACAAGCGGAGGAACAUGUGGUUUAAUUCGAUGAUACGCGAGGAACCUUACCCGGGCUCGAACGGCUAUAGAAUAACGAUGAAAGUUGUUAGCCAGCAAUGGCUGUAGUCGAGGUGCUGCAUGGUUGUCGUCAGCUCGUGCCGUGAGGUGUCGGCUUAAGUGCCAUAACGAGCGCAACCCCUACCGGUAGUUACCAGCAGGUAAAGCUGGGGACUCUGCCGGGACUGCCACCGCAAGGUGCGAGGAAGGUGGGGAUGACGUCAAAUCAGCACGGCCCUUACGUCCGGGGCGACACACGUGUUACAAUGGGGGGGACAAAGGGCAGCUACCCGGCGACGGGAUGCCAAUCUCCAAACCCUCUCCCAGUUCGGACUGGAGUCUGCAACCCGACUCCACGAAGCUGGAUUCGCUAGUAAUCGCGCAUCAGCCAUGGCGCGGUGAAUACG